GACGAACGCUGGCGGCGUGCUUAACACAUGCAAGUCGAACGGAAAGGCCCUUCGGGGUACUCGAGUGGCGAACGGGUGAGUAACACGUGGGUGAUCUGCCCUGCACUUUGGGAUAAGCCUGAGAAACUGGGUCUAAUACCGAAUAGGACCACGCGCUUCAUGGUGUGUGGUGGAAAGCUUUUGCGGUGUGGGAUGGGCCCGCGGCCUAUCAGCUUGUUGGUGGGGUAAUGGCCUACCAAGGCGACGACGGGUAGCCGGCCUGAGAGGGUGACCGGCCACACUGGGACUGAGAUACGGCCCAGACUCCUACGGGAGGCAGCAGUGGGGAAUAUUGCACAAUGGGCGCAAGCCUGAUGCAGCGACGCCGCGUGAGGGAUGACGGCCUUCGGGUUGUAAACCUCUUUCAAUAGGGACGAAGCGCAAGUGACGGUACCUAUAGAAGAAGCACCGGCCAACUACGUG
This 462-nucleotide ribosomal RNA is filed under the name uncultured bacterium. RNAcentral describes it as "partial 16S ribosomal RNA". It matches the Rfam family "Bacterial small subunit ribosomal RNA", at positions 28 to 507 of the family's 1533-position model. The record is from RNAcentral.